UACGGAGGGUGCAAGCGUUAUUCGGAUUUAUUGGGCGUAAAGGGCGCGUAGGCGGUCUUGUAAGUCAGAUGUGAAAGCCCGGGGCUUAACCCCGGAAGGGCAUUUGAUACUGCGAGACUUGAGUAUGGGAGGGGGAAGUGGAAUUCCUGGUGUAGAGGUGAAAUUCGUAGAUAUCAGGAGGAACACCAGUGGCGAAGGCGACUUCCUGGACCAAUACUGACGCUGAUGCGCGAAGGCGUGGGGAGCAAACAGG
Molecule: ribosomal RNA, 253 nt
Filed under: uncultured bacterium
Lineage: Bacteria
Description: partial 16S ribosomal RNA
Rfam family: Bacterial small subunit ribosomal RNA
Source: RNAcentral